Chlorocebus sabaeus (green monkey) is the source of this 543-nucleotide non-coding RNA. Lineage: Eukaryota; Metazoa; Chordata; Mammalia; Primates; Cercopithecidae. The record is from RefSeq and is a predicted model, not a curated record.
CGCAGUUCUCGUGGGAGGAGCGGGGCACCGCGUUCCUGGCCAGGCAGGCUGGAAACGGUAUCUCUUAACGGUUCCCUGCCCGUUGGUGGCAAGGCGGCUGGACUAGAAUCUCAGCAGGCGACAUGCGAGGAGGCGGGCAAUCCAGGAGGGUUGGGCAAGGCAGUGUGGACCUCACCGCUUCCACACCGAUGCUGGCUACUGAUCGCGGGCACCUCUUUGCCAUGGGAAGCCAGUUCUUGGAGACACUAGGAAGCCAAGAGUUUCCUCCAAGAAUGGAGAUUCCUUGGAAGUGAGGUUCACCUUGAGUCAAGAAAGACGAAUCACACAUGGUCAAAGGCCAUUGCCCAGGGUCUCAAGAGUAGCCAGAAAGAAGAGCUGGGGCUGGUGGGAUUGUGGGGGUCCUCUCUCCCACCUGAAAACUACUGCUGCCUGCUGACCCUCUCAAGAGGAGACCUCUCUGGGCUCCAGCACCUAAAACAGAUAAACCUGGGAGGAUGUUUCUCUCCUCUGUGUCACACAUGUCCUGGAGAAAACCUGUGUAUC